GAGUUUGAUCAUGGCUCAGGAUGAACGCUAGCGGGAGGCUUAACACAUGCAAGUCGAGGGGUAUAAGUAGCAAUAUAUAGAGACCGGCGCACGGGUGAGUAACGCGUAUGCAACCUGCCCUUUACAGGGGGAUAGCCCGUAGAAAUGCGGAUUAAUACCCCAUAGUAAUAUUGGAUCGCAUGGUUUGAUAGUUAAAGUUUCGGCGGUAAAGGAUGGGCAUGCGUGACAUUAGCUAGUUGGAGAGGUAACGGCUCACCAAGGCUACGAUGUCUAGGGGUUCUGAGAGGAAGAUCCCCCACACUGGUACUGAGACACGGACCAGACUCCUACGGGAGGCAGCAGUGAGGAAUAUUGGUCAAUGGGCGGGAGCCUGAACCAGCCAUCCCGCGUGCAGGAAGAAUGCCCUAUGGGUUGUAAACUGCUUUUUCGCAUGAAGAACACUCCGGACGUGUCUGGAGCUGACGGUAAUGCGUGAAUAAGCACCGGCUAACUCCGUGCCAGCAGCCGCGGUAAUACGGAGGGUGCAAGCGUUAUCCGGAUUUAUUGGGUUUAAAGGGUGCGUAGGCGGUGAUUUAAGUCAGUGGUGAAAUCCUGCAGCUCAACUGUAGAACAGCCAUUGAAACUGA
Molecule: ribosomal RNA, 626 nt
Filed under: uncultured bacterium
Lineage: Bacteria
Description: bacterial SSU rRNA
Rfam family: Bacterial small subunit ribosomal RNA
Source: RNAcentral